RNAcentral lists this ribosomal RNA (216 nucleotides) under Glomeromycotina sp. RNAcentral describes it as "partial small subunit ribosomal RNA". The stretch from base 40 to 216 matches the Rfam family "Eukaryotic small subunit ribosomal RNA", at positions 686 to 864 of the family's 1831-position model. Lineage: Eukaryota; Fungi; Glomeromycota. The record is from RNAcentral.
GGGUCAGUAGGUUGGUCGUGCCACCGGUACGUACUGGUCUCACUGAUUCCUCCUUCCUGAAGAAUCGUAAUGCCAUUAAUUUGGUGUUGCGGGGAAACAGGACUGUUACUUUGAAAAAAUUAGAGUGUUUAAAGCAAGCUAACGCUUGAAUACAUUAGCAUGGAAUAAUGAAAUAGGACGAUCGAUCCUAUUUUGUUGGUUUCUAGGAUUGACGUA